GCCCGAAUGGCUCAGUUGGCUAGAGCGCAGGUCUCAUAUGGCAGCGUAUGAGGGAGCAUCUGUUCCUGAUAUCCUGAGGUCGCAAGUUCGAGCCUUGCUUCGGGCA
Molecule: transfer RNA, 106 nt
Organism: Sistotremastrum suecicum HHB10207 ss-3
Lineage: Eukaryota; Fungi; Basidiomycota; Agaricomycetes; Sistotremastrales; Sistotremastraceae
Rfam family: tRNA
About the family: Transfer RNA (tRNA) molecules are approximately 80 nucleotides in length. Their secondary structure includes four short double-helical elements and three loops (D, anti-codon, and T loops).
Source: Rfam